UACGUAGGGGGCUAGCGUUGUCCGGAAUCAUUGGGCGUAAAGAGCGUGUAGGCGGCUCGAUAAGUCCGCUGUGAAAGUCCAGGGCUCAACCCUGGGAUGCCGGUGGAUACUGUCGGGCUCGAGUCCGGAAGAGGCGAGUGGAAUUCCUGGUGUAGCGGUGAAAUGCGCAGAUAUCAGGAGGAACACCAACGGCGAAGGCAGCUCUCUGGGACGUUACUGACGCUGAGACGCGAAAGCGUGGGGAGCAAACAGG
This 253-nucleotide ribosomal RNA is filed under the name uncultured bacterium. Its description in RNAcentral is "partial 16S ribosomal RNA". It matches the Rfam family "Bacterial small subunit ribosomal RNA", at positions 524 to 776 of the family's 1533-position model. The record is from RNAcentral.